CAAGGAGUAGUUUAAGACUAGAAUGCCAGCUUUGGGAGUUAGUGGUGAGGGUUAAAGUCCUUCCUCUUUGA
This 71-nucleotide transfer RNA is filed under the name Centrophryne spinulosa. RNAcentral describes it as "tRNA-Pro". It matches the Rfam family "tRNA". From Rfam's summary of the family: Transfer RNA (tRNA) molecules are approximately 80 nucleotides in length. Their secondary structure includes four short double-helical elements and three loops (D, anti-codon, and T loops). The record is from RNAcentral. Lineage: Eukaryota; Metazoa; Chordata; Actinopteri; Lophiiformes; Centrophrynidae.